This 429-nucleotide ribosomal RNA is filed under the name Actinomycetes bacterium. Its description in RNAcentral is "Actinobacteria bacterium partial 16S ribosomal RNA". It matches the Rfam family "Bacterial small subunit ribosomal RNA", at positions 355 to 776 of the family's 1533-position model. The record is from RNAcentral. Lineage: Bacteria; Bacillati; Actinomycetota; Actinomycetes.
UAGGGAAUCUUCCGCAAUGGGCGAAAGCCUGACGGAGCAACGCCGCGCGAGUGAUGAAGGUCUUCGGAUCGUAAAACUCUGUUAUUAGGGAAGAACAAAUGUGUAAGUAACUAUGCACGUCUUGACGGUACCUAAUCAGAAAGCCACGGCUAACUACGUGCCAGCAGCCGCGGUAAUACGUAGGUGGCAAGCGUUAUCCGGAAUUAGUGGGCGUAAAGCGCGCGUAGGCGGUUUUUUAAGUCUGAUGUGAAAGCCCACGGCUCAACCGUGGAGGGUCAUUGGAAACUGGAAAACUUGAGUGCAGAAGAGGAAAGUGGAAUUCCAUGUGUAGCGGUGAAAUGCGCAGAGAUAUGGAGGAACACCAGUGGCGAAGGCGACUUUCUGGUCUGUAACUGACGCUGAUGUGCGAAAGCGUGGGGAUCAAACAGG